This is a long non-coding RNA of Magallana angulata, 297 nucleotides long. RefSeq lists it as uncharacterized. The transcript is spliced from 3 exons. The record is from RefSeq and is a predicted model, not a curated record. NCBI's taxonomy places the organism in Eukaryota, Metazoa, Mollusca, Bivalvia, Ostreida, Ostreidae.
CAGGUCGCAUCGUAAGAAAAGAAUUUGUUGGUUGUUUCAUGGAUCAAAGAUCCCGAACCUUGAACGGAAAGAUGACCACCUCUAAAACCAUGACAGUGGACAGCUGCAGAAAAACGUGCACAGAUCUGAGGUUCAAAUACUACGGUGUAGAGUAUAGCUCACAGUGUUUUUGUGGAAAUAAACUAACAAAGUCAGUCAAGAUGAAGGAAAACGACUGUUGGAGUUUUUGUGCAGGUGAUAAAACACAGGCUUGUGGUGGCACAUGGAGAAUUGCCAUUUAUAAAAAUCCUAUAUUCA